UCCGACAUCGGGGUGGAGACAUUG
Molecule: non-coding RNA, 24 nt
Filed under: Mus musculus (house mouse)
Lineage: Eukaryota; Metazoa; Chordata; Mammalia; Rodentia; Muridae
Source: RNAcentral